This is a long non-coding RNA of Cornus florida, 461 nucleotides long. RefSeq lists it as uncharacterized. The record is from RefSeq and is a predicted model, not a curated record. Lineage: Eukaryota; Viridiplantae; Streptophyta; Magnoliopsida; Cornales; Cornaceae. The transcript is spliced from 3 exons.
UCAAAACGAAGGCCAUAUGCCAAACUAUUUAGUGACCUUGAUGUAUAGACCCUUGUAAAAUGCCAUGUCAGGAGGGUUAGCAACCCAAUUAAAAUUGCCAGCAUGACCUGAAAGAAGCCAUUGAUAACAGAAGAAAAAAGAGAGAAUUGUCCUCAAGUUUUUGGCAGAAAUGGGAAGGCUGACUGCAAGCAUAAUAAAUUGGGGGUGUUUGCAGCGAGGGUGGCCAAUGUUGCGGAUAGCAUUUGAUAGAAUCUCAGGUGUGAUGAGGCACUUUUAGCAGAGUUGGGGACUAUCUCAUGUUUUGGGGCUUCAUUGCACAUAAUUCUAUGAUAAAGUUACCAUGAUGGCGAGGCGAGCUACAAAGACGCUGUAGUAUGAUGAGAGACAACGGGUACUUGGAUACGGAAAUUCUUCUUGUUCAACAUCCCUAUGGAGAGUUCCUCGGCCGCGGUGACAGUGAG